ACGCUCGACACCUACGGGAGGCAGCAGUGGGGAAUAUUGCACAAUGGGGGAAACCCUGAUGCAGCGACGCCGCGUGAAGGAAGAAGUAUCUCGGUAUGUAAACUUCUAUCAGCAGGGAAGAAAAUGACGGUACCUGACUAAGAAGCCCCGGCUAACUACGUGCUAGCAGCCGCGGUAAUCUGAGCGGGCUGGCAAGGC
RNAcentral lists this ribosomal RNA (198 nucleotides) under uncultured bacterium. Its description in RNAcentral is "partial 16S ribosomal RNA". It matches the Rfam family "Bacterial small subunit ribosomal RNA", at positions 328 to 539 of the family's 1533-position model. The record is from RNAcentral.